This 432-nucleotide ribosomal RNA is filed under the name uncultured bacterium. RNAcentral describes it as "partial 16S ribosomal RNA". It matches the Rfam family "Bacterial small subunit ribosomal RNA", at positions 29 to 506 of the family's 1533-position model. The record is from RNAcentral.
AACGAACGCUGGCGGCAUGCCUAACACAUGCAAGUCGAACGAGACCUUCGGGUCUAGUGGCGCACGGGUGCGUAACGCGUGGGAACCUGCCCUUAGGUUCGGAAUAACUCCCCGAAAGGGGUGCUAAUACCGGAUAAUGUCUUCGGACCAAAGAUUUAUCGCCUUUGGAUGGGCCCGCGUUGGAUUAGCUAGUUGGUAGGGUAAAAGCCUACCAAGGCGACGAUCCAAAGCUGGUCUGAGAGGAUGAUCAGCCACACUGGGACUGAGACACGGCCCAGACUCCUACGGGAGGCAGCAGUGGGGAAUAUUGGACAAUGGGCGAAAGCCUGAUCCAGCAAUGCCGCGUGAGUGAUGAAGGCCUUAGGGUUGUAAAGCUCUUUUACCCGGGAUGAUAAUGACAGUACCGGGAGAAUAAGCUCCGGCUAACUCCGU